CCCUUCUUCAAACCGUCACAUUAGGUAAAGUGUGGAGUUUCGUUUUGAUAACUCUUAGAAGAUGAAUUCAGUCUUAGGGACGUUAAAUGCUCCAAAGCUUCUACUUAAAGGACUACAACAAAUAAGACAGGGGAGUGGACCUUCCGGGGUUUUCUUAAGCAGUCUUCAUGAUGAAGUCACUCACAGUGUUUGUGGUCUCCGUCUCUCCGUGGUCACGCUUUAAGAGCUACUGCCACCAUGAUGUCAUUCACCACACAGCCAGCACCAAAUGAAAAUGUGCAACAAAGAAUGCAGAGUCUUCCACAAGUCAGCCUCUGUCUGUCAGUCAGCCUGCUCCUGUUGUUCUCCUUGUGGUUAAACCACAAACCAGCGCUCUGACAUGAAAUAAAAAUUGCUUCCCAACAUGU
This is a long non-coding RNA of Oryzias melastigma (Indian medaka), 407 nucleotides long. RefSeq lists it as uncharacterized. The record is from RefSeq and is a predicted model, not a curated record. The transcript is spliced from 2 exons. Lineage: Eukaryota; Metazoa; Chordata; Actinopteri; Beloniformes; Adrianichthyidae.